This 692-nucleotide long non-coding RNA is filed under the name Brassica napus (rape). RNAcentral describes it as "long non-coding RNA (BNAP_LNC018716)". The record is from RNAcentral. Lineage: Eukaryota; Viridiplantae; Streptophyta; Magnoliopsida; Brassicales; Brassicaceae.
UGGGGUAGGAUUCCUAUAGUGGCGUCCUCCAUGAAAGCUCUGGGUUAUGGUGGCUCGACGACAUCCUUGGCUUCAGUGCUCCGUUUGAGGUUGGCGGAGAGGAAGCCGGUGUCUGAUAGCUAGUCAUUGGGAUCUAGGUUUUGUCUCGAUUUCGCAAGAGUAACUGCUGCCGACGGAUCUAACCUCGGGGAUGACGGUUCCUCGGUUUAUGAUUCAUGUCCGGUUUAGUUUUGUCUUGCCCCCGUGCUGUUUGUGAAGCUUUGCGAGAUUUCUCGAACUUGGAUGAAGGACUAGACACGAGGUGAUUUUUGCGGUGGCUAGGUUUCCGAUAGUCGGAUCUCCUCCGGUUCGGCGUCUGUUGCCGCGGGACUACUCCGACAGUGGGUUAUCUGACGAGGCAAUUGCUGACAGAGCUGUAUACUGACUUGGACACCCGGUGUUGGCAGUCGCGACAGUCGGUCGUUGGUGAGCAGGGAGCUCAACUCCCCCGGGCUUUUCACCCACGCGGUCUUUCUAGCUUUUUGCGGUUAUUUGUUGUUUUCUUGGUCUAGUUUCAUGUAACCUAGAGUCUCUGUUUUUUCCAGUUGACCGGAGUUGUUGUGCUUCACCGGAUCUCAUUUUUGGAAAAGAUAAAUAUAAAUAUAAAUAUAAUAUAUAUAUACUAUAUAUAUAAUCAGAAAUAUUAAACAUUC